RNAcentral lists this ribosomal RNA (301 nucleotides) under uncultured bacterium. Its description in RNAcentral is "partial 16S ribosomal RNA". It matches the Rfam family "Bacterial small subunit ribosomal RNA", at positions 509 to 807 of the family's 1533-position model. The record is from RNAcentral.
CAGUAGCCGCGGUAAUACGUAGGGUGCAAGCGUUAAUCGGAAUUACUGGGCGUAAAGCGUGCGCAGGCGGUUUUGUAAGUCUGUCGUGAAAUCCCCGGGCUCAACCUGGGAAUGGCGAUGGAGACUGCAAGGCUAGAAUCUGGCAGAGGGGGGUAGAAUUCCACGUGUAGCAGUGAAAUGCGUAGAUAUGUGGAGGAACACCGAUGGCGAAGGCAGCCCCCUGGGCUAAGAUUGACGCUCAUGCACGAAAGCGUGGGGAGCAAACAGGAUUAGAUACCCCCGUAGUCCCUGUCUCUUAUAC